AGUGUUUAAGGAACCAGUAUUUGAUAUAGCUAAAGAUCCUCUGUAUCUGGUUUUUUUUUUUAGAAUUCUUAUGAGAAAUUUACAUCCAGGCACUAUCAUAGAUCCCAAUUUUGAUUUUCUCAAAGUAAACCCCACCAAAGCCGCUUGAAAAACAUGCUAUGAGAACUGCCAUUUGUCCUACAAAUUGAGAGCCAGCUGAAAGUUCCUUAGAAUCAAGCUGAGAAUCCGAGGGCCACUGUACAA
This 243-nucleotide long non-coding RNA is filed under the name Callithrix jacchus (white-tufted-ear marmoset). RNAcentral describes it as "lncRNA (ENSCJAG00000084409.1)". Lineage: Eukaryota; Metazoa; Chordata; Mammalia; Primates; Cebidae. The record is from RNAcentral.